CCUACGGGUGGCAGCAGUGGGGAAUCUUGGGCAAUGGGCGCAAGCCUGACCCAGCAACGCCGCGUGAAGGAAGAAGGCUUUCGGGUUGUAAACUUCUUUUGACAGGGAAGAGCAGAAGACGGUACCUGUCGAAUAAGCCACGGCUAACUCCGUGCCAGAAUCCGCGGUAAUAGGUAGGUGGCAAGCGUUGUCCGGUUUUAAUGGGUGUAAAGGGCGUGUAGCCGUGCUGACGAGUCAGAUGUGAAUCCGGGGGCUCAACCCACGAACUGCAUUUGAAACUGGUGGUCUUGAGUAUCGGAGAGGCAGGCGGAACUCCUAGUGUAGCGGUGAAAUGCGUAGAUAUAAGGAGGAACACCAGUGGCGAAGGCGGCCUGCUGGACGACAACUGACGGUGAGGCGCGAAAGCGUGGGGAGCAAACAGGAUUAGAUACCCCUGUAGUC
RNAcentral lists this ribosomal RNA (441 nucleotides) under uncultured bacterium. Its description in RNAcentral is "partial 16S ribosomal RNA". It matches the Rfam family "Bacterial small subunit ribosomal RNA", at positions 338 to 795 of the family's 1533-position model. The record is from RNAcentral.